Molecule: long non-coding RNA, 281 nt
Organism: Mustela lutreola (European mink)
Lineage: Eukaryota; Metazoa; Chordata; Mammalia; Carnivora; Mustelidae
Exons: 3
Source: RefSeq, a predicted model, not a curated record
GCUGGACUCAGGUUCAAAGUCAGAUGUGUGCUGGAUCCUUCCAUAGGCUCGUUAACCAGGUUUCAUCAUGCCUAGGUAAGCCUUUCCAUCUCCAGGACCAUUAAAACAUUCCCUCAUGCUUUCUUCUGUUAUUUCACCGAUUUACCUGAAGUGCCAUCUUCAUCAUACACCGAAUUCCUUUGUGUGGUUGGAUCCAGCUCUCUUUUCCAAUUUGUUCCACUGAUCCGUGUAGUUCUGCUUCAAUACCAUGCUGCUUUAAAUACAUUGGCUUUAUGUUUUCA